Molecule: transfer RNA, 89 nt
Filed under: Pirellulaceae bacterium
Lineage: Bacteria; Pseudomonadati; Planctomycetota; Planctomycetia; Pirellulales; Pirellulaceae
Description: tRNA-Ser
Rfam family: tRNA
About the family: Transfer RNA (tRNA) molecules are approximately 80 nucleotides in length. Their secondary structure includes four short double-helical elements and three loops (D, anti-codon, and T loops).
Source: RNAcentral
GGAUGGGUGGCAGAGUUUGGUCGAUUGCACCAGUCUUGAAAACUGGCGUACGUUAGCGCGUACCGUGGGUUCGAAUCCCACCCCAUCCG